This 776-nucleotide long non-coding RNA is filed under the name Lupinus angustifolius (narrow-leaved blue lupine). RNAcentral's name for it is "long non-coding RNA (LANG_LNC003405)". The record is from RNAcentral. Lineage: Eukaryota; Viridiplantae; Streptophyta; Magnoliopsida; Fabales; Fabaceae.
UACAGUGCGUUUUUUUUACUGAAACAAGAUUAUCACAAGAAGCGAAUCCAUGUUACUACUAUGUAUUGUAUUCAUAACAUUUCUCAUACAGUAUCAUGCUUCAUAUAUCAAUGACAGUCAUCCCAUAAUAAUACAUAUACAUUCAUAUGAUAAUCACUAACAGUCAUAAACAGAGAUGCACCUUCAUUCACUAUUUUGCUAUUGAUGUAUAUUAUAUAACAUUAAAUACUCAUGAACAAGUUUUUCUCUUUAGUGGACAAACAAAAAUAACAUGUAAAUUGAAUCAAAAAAAUUAUCCUAUUAACCUCCAAAACAGAAUCACCAUGUUCAUCUACUCAUAACACUUGGUCAAUCAAAGGUAAUACACAAUUAAUUUGUCAAUGCACUCACACACUUAAUGAAUAAAAGAGGAAUAAAUCCAAGCCAUAUACGAAGUCGCUACUGUCGGCAUGGGACCCAAACGGGAUUAUCCCUUCCUCUAGUCGGAGCUCCACCACGCACGACCAGAUCCGUUCACAUCGCCGGCGUCUUCUCCACGUCCUCGGACUGGGAGAGAGGAGAAGAAGAAGAUGGAAGCAACCCCUAGGGAGGAUUUGUGUCGGCAACCAAGCCAUGAUACUCAGUGCAACACCCACGACCGGUGCUACUAGGGCGAGCCUCCUCCGAUUGGAAAGAAUCUCUCAUGGCCUCAUCCCUUAAUUCAUGAAUUCAUUCUCUUCCAUCAAAGAGGGGGCUGGCGUGUUUCUAAGGGACUCAAUUCCCUUCUUAAGUUUAAG